GUAGGUGGCAAGCGUUGUCCGGGAAUUAUUGGGGCGUAAAAGCGCGCGCAGGCGGUUCUUUAAGUCUGAUAGUGAAAGCCCCACGGGCUCAACCGUGGAGGGUCAUUGGAAACUGGAGAACUUGAGUACAGAAGAGGAAAGCGGAAUUCCACGUGUAGCGGUGAAAUGCGUAGAGAUGUGGAGGAACACCAGUGGCGAAGGCGGCUUUCUGGUCUGUAACUGACGCUGAGGCGCGAAAGCGUGGGGAGCAAACAGGAUUAGAUACCCUGGUAGUCCACGCCGUAAACGAUGAGUGCUAAGUGUUAGGGGGUUUCCGCCCCUUAGUGCUGCAGCUAACGCAUUAAGCACUCCGCCUGGGGAGUACGGCCGCAAAGGCUGAA
Molecule: ribosomal RNA, 380 nt
Filed under: uncultured organism
Description: partial 16S ribosomal RNA
Rfam family: Bacterial small subunit ribosomal RNA
Source: RNAcentral